Molecule: transfer RNA, 91 nt
Filed under: Acidobacteriota bacterium
Lineage: Bacteria; Pseudomonadati; Acidobacteriota
Also listed under: 1 other name
Description: tRNA-Ser
Rfam family: tRNA
About the family: Transfer RNA (tRNA) molecules are approximately 80 nucleotides in length.
Source: RNAcentral
GGAGGGGUGGCCGAGCGGUUGAAGGCGGCGGUCUUGAAAACCGCUGACGGUCAAAAGCCGUCCGUGGGUUCGAAUCCCACCUCCUCCGCCA